Molecule: ribosomal RNA, 585 nt
Filed under: uncultured marine eukaryote
Lineage: Eukaryota
Description: SSU rRNA
Rfam family: Eukaryotic small subunit ribosomal RNA
Source: RNAcentral
GCAGUUAAAAAGCUCGUAGUUGGAUUUCAGAGUGGGCCAGUUGGUCCGCCGCAAGGUGUGUUACUGACUGGUUUGCUCUUCUUCGCAAAGACUGCGUGUGCUCCUGAGUGAGUGUGCGUAGGAUUUACGACGUUUACUUUGAAAAAAUUAGAGUGUUCAAAGCAGGCUAUUGCUUGAAUACAUGAGCAUGGAAUAAUGGAAUAGGACUUUGGUCCCAUUUUGUUGGUUUCUAGGGCCGAAGUAAUGAUUAAGAGGGACAAUUGGGGGCAUCCGUAUUUCGUUGUCAGAGGUGAAAUUCUUGGAUUUACGAAAGACGAACAACUGCGAAAGCACUUGCCAAGAGUGUUUUCAUUAAUCAAGAACGAAAGUUAGAGGAUCGAAGACGAUCAGAUACCGUCCUAGUUCUAACCAUAAACGAUGUCGACUAGGGAUCAGCGGGCGUUAUCGUACGACCCCGUUGGCACCUUACGGGAAACCAAAGUUUUUGGAUUCCGGGGGAAGUAUGGUUGCAAAGCUGAAACUUAAAGGAAUUGACGGAAGGGCACCACCAGGAGUGGAGCCCUGUGGGCUCAAAUUUGACUCAAC